AAACAAAUCAGCUGAGUUGGAGUGCUAGUAUUCUGAACGACAGAUCAGACGCAUGUGAAAGAGAUGCAUAUUAAAUUAAUUGAAUCAGGACAAAUAUACCAAAUAUACGAGCGCCUUGACUUGCGUGGAGUUUUCGUCACAAGCCUUGAAUCACCACCACCACCAUCUCUUAUCAAUCCCUCUGUCCGUCUCUCUCCACCUUUAUCUCUUCCUUCCUCUCUCUCUUUCCUGAAGGUUGCUCACAGGCUUGUUAUGAAAACUCCUUUGCUCAAACACUGUGAAUGACUUUUAUAGCUAUGAGAUCUGAGGGCAUCAGGAAAUCAACUGCUAUGGGACAAGAGGUUAUUAUGAGCAAAGACUGGGUAUUUGAGCUAAAGAACCGAAGAGGAAGAUGUGAUUGUAUCAGUUCUGCAAGGAUUUCACAUUGCAAUUGCAGGUUACAAGGGUUAUAACCAAGCAUUGGUGCAACUGUGUAUGAGCUAUGCAGUAUUUUCCGUUUUAUUUGUGUUUGUGUUUCUUAAUACCAGCAAAUUUGCAUCUAAAAAAAAAGGUAACGGGAGGAAGAUCUUUAACACACCCUAGAAGUAGAAUCAUUGAAACGCAAACUAACAGGCAUUUUAUUCUGGUUAUCAUUACUGUUCUUGGAAUUCACAUUUGGUACUUAAAAUGAGUAAGAAGUUUAUUAUUCUGUUUGUUUGGUUUUGCAUAAGGGGAUGUAUAAGGUGUCAUCGAGCUAAAGUUAUGAGCUUAUGGCAGCAGGACCAUCAAAAGAAAGAUUGUACUCGUGUUUGCAUUGGUAGUGUUUAAGAAAGUCCACUUGCUUUUCUAUUAAUUAACCAUAAAACAAACAUGCAAAUGUGAUGUUUGGCUGGUAAGCAAGGGCUCAAAAAUAAACGUGUGAUCUAGGGCCUUGUGUUUGAUGUUUCACUACAAUGUAUUUUUAUGUGUUUUGUUGCGUCUCAUCUUCUUUUCUUGUGCUGGA
Papaver somniferum (opium poppy) is the source of this 982-nucleotide long non-coding RNA. RefSeq lists it as uncharacterized. NCBI's taxonomy places the organism in Eukaryota, Viridiplantae, Streptophyta, Magnoliopsida, Ranunculales, Papaveraceae. The record is from RefSeq and is a predicted model, not a curated record. The transcript has 3 exons.